ACAGAACAGCACCAGGGGCUGGUCCAACGCUCCCUGUGCAUCUUUUAUUUAGGAAUCCAUCCUUCAGCCCACCCACAUCAGCACAGCAAGAGCUGGAACUGCAGCACGUGUGGAACAUCCUGUGCUGGUUGUGCUGCAUUGGUCUGGGGAUUAAACACCUCUGGAGAGGCAAAGGAGCUCCAGUUCUAAAUGAAACCUCAGAUAUCGUGGGAGCUGGAAACCCGAAACCCCAGAGUUUGUACCAAGAACCUGCUGGAUUGAGCAGUGGGGCUCUGAAUAUCCUCAUUCAUCUCCAGAAUCACCAUCAGCUGCCUCUGUGACUGCAGAGCCCCAGAAUUAUGGAAGUUUGCACAAACAGCCCCUCACACUGGGAAUUAAACCCCUUUUUCCUUGGUUUUGAGCACUCAUGGACGGAACUUCCAUCGUGUUUCACAGAUAACAAAAUCGCAUGUAAGGUUUGGUUCACAAA
Molecule: long non-coding RNA, 469 nt
Filed under: Junco hyemalis (dark-eyed junco)
Lineage: Eukaryota; Metazoa; Chordata; Aves; Passeriformes; Passerellidae
Description: lncRNA (ENSJHYG00000008615.1)
Source: RNAcentral